This is a long non-coding RNA of Oryctolagus cuniculus (rabbit), 1580 nucleotides long. The record is from Ensembl. NCBI's taxonomy places the organism in Eukaryota, Metazoa, Chordata, Mammalia, Lagomorpha, Leporidae.
GCGAGUUCCUGCUACUUGGUUUUUGUGACCUUGAGCAAGCCAUUUACCCAUGUUAAUUCAGUUUCUAAGUAUGGGUGUAAUAAAUGCUGCUUCUUGAGGUUACUGCGAAAAUGAAAAGUAUUAAAGUAUUCAGCAAGACGUAGUACAUAGUAGGCGUCCAGUGAAUAAAUCCCGUUUGUCUUUCUCUGUCCCUCCCUCAACUCCAGGUUUCAUGAACCCUCUGGACUUGCUAGCUGAACGCUUACAUUGUUUGAAGCUCAAAAAGAAAUAAAAACACAUCUCAUGCCCUAAAGGCACUACAAAGAACAUUGACAGACAUGAAAUAUUAAAUCCAACCAAGUCCAGGGCGAUGCCAUACAUUUACAUUGCUCUCAAGAACACACUGAUGGCUAAGGAGAUUCAGGGAAGUCUUGCAUUUAACUUCAACCUCAAAGAAGUGGCUCUGACACUUUCUGAUCAAAAGCGCCUCCAAGGACCUGAGCCUGGAGGACUCAGCUCUCGGGGAUUGUCCAGGUGGGGCCAAACCCACAAGCAAAUCUGCAGAGACGAGAGGAUUCCUCCUCCUGAGGCCAUUGGGUGAAAUCCCAGGAAUAUUUCAAGGCACGUAUUUCUCUCAGUCCCUUGGAAGAAAAUGUCUCAAGCUCGCUUCAGGCGCCGGGAGGGAAACAGAAGAAUGGUGACAUCUGGUGGCCAGGACUCUCUGUGCUGUAGCUGGAUCCUACAGGCUCCGAUCAAAACAGACUCACUUGGAAGCCAAGAUCUCAAGGGGGGGUUAAUAAUUGUACCACCUGGCUGUCCAAAGACUUCUGAAAAACAUCACUCAUUCCAACUUUAUGGAUCCGCCACUUCAUAGCAUGCUGCAGAUGGUUAUUUCAGAACAUUUUGAUGAAAAGUGUGUGUACAUUAAAUAUACAGUAUAAGGAUACAAAUUCAGGUGUAUAUGAAAAUACAUGCAUUUUCUAUAUUAGUAGUAUAUACUCCAAUAACUUACAUAAAUAAUAUACUUGCAACGCCUUUGAGAGAAAUCAAGUCCACCUUGAUUGUUUUUCCCACAGUUAAGAUUGUGACUUACAAUCAUUGCUAAAUAACACUGUACACACACAGGUGCUCUCCUGGAUGGAGUUAUGUAUCCCAUCAUGUUCUCUCAAGAGAGUGCGUUACAAACUGAAGAGGAAGCAAAUAACAGGCUGGAGUUUCAACACCCCUGGCAGCUGAUGGCCACGGUCAUGUGUCCAUGGGGGACAUCUCAUCCUUUCUAGCAUUUCCACUACCAAUGCAGAAUGGAGCUUAGGUUAAAAGAAGGAAGAUGUGGGGGAUGAUUUCAUGACAAUGCCACAGCGUCUGUUGGGAUGGCUAAGUUGGCUCUUAACUGUAUUGCUCCACUUCUGUCCAUGUAUUUGUUCCGUGUACCACACUUCAGAUAAUCACUCAAUUAGACACAUGAAAACACAACUCGAGCCACACAAUCAAGGCCAUUGUUUCCUGGCAUCUCUUACUAGGCUCUAUGUGAAUUGUAAUUACCCUCAUUACAAUUCACACAUCAGAUGAGCCUGAAAGUGUUGGCCACUUAGAUCCUCAGC